UAGGGAAUCUUCCACAAUGGGCGAAAGCCUGAUGGAGCAACGCCGCGUGUGUGAUGAAGGUUUCGGCUCGUAAAACACUGUUGUAAGAGAAGAAUGACAUUGAGAGUAACUGUUCAAUGUGUGACGGUAUCUUACCAGAAAGGAACGGCUAAAUACGUGCCAC
This 163-nucleotide ribosomal RNA is filed under the name uncultured bacterium. RNAcentral describes it as "partial 16S rRNA". It matches the Rfam family "Bacterial small subunit ribosomal RNA", at positions 355 to 511 of the family's 1533-position model. The record is from RNAcentral.